This 251-nucleotide ribosomal RNA is filed under the name uncultured prokaryote. RNAcentral describes it as "partial 16S rRNA". It matches the Rfam family "Bacterial small subunit ribosomal RNA", at positions 525 to 775 of the family's 1533-position model. The record is from RNAcentral.
ACGGAGGGUGCAAGCGUUAAACGGAAUUAAUGGGCGUAAAGGGUGCGUAGGUAGUUUGAUAAGUGAUCUGUAAAAUCCCCGAGCUUAACCUGGGCAGGUAAGAUAAAACUGUUGAACUCGAGUAUGGGAGAGGGUAGUGGAAUUUCCGGUGUAGCGGUGAAAUGCGUAGAGAUCGUAAGGAACACCAGUGGCGAAGGCGGCUACCUGGACUAAUACUGACACUGAGGCACGAAAGCGUGGGGAGCAAACAG